Molecule: ribosomal RNA, 465 nt
Filed under: Vreelandella stevensii
Lineage: Bacteria; Pseudomonadati; Pseudomonadota; Gammaproteobacteria; Oceanospirillales; Halomonadaceae
Description: partial 16S ribosomal RNA
Rfam family: Bacterial small subunit ribosomal RNA
Source: RNAcentral
CCUACGGGAGGCAGCAGUGGGGAAUAUUGGACAAUGGGGGGAACCCUGAUCCAGCCAUGCCGCGUGUGUGAAGAAGGCCCUCGGGUUGUAAAGCACUUUCAGUGAGGAAGAACGCCUGGUGGUUAAUACCCAUCAGGAAAGACAUCACUCACAGAAGAAGCACCGGCUAACUCCGUGCCAGCAGCCGCGGUAAUACGGAGGGUGCGAGCGUUAAUCGGAAUUACUGGGCGUAAAGCGCACGUAGGUGGCUUGAUAAGCCGGUUGUGAAAGCCCCGGGCUCAACCUGGGAACGGCAUCCGGAACUGUCAAGCUAGAGUGCAGGAGAGGAAGGUAGAAUUCCCGGUGUAGCGGUGAAAUGCGUAGAGAUCGGGAGGAAUACCAGUGGCGAAGGCGGCCUUCUGGACUGACACUGACACUGAGGUGCGAAAGCGUGGGUAGCAAACAGGAUUAGAUACCCCAGUAGUC